This 1346-nucleotide unclassified non-coding RNA is filed under the name Hevea brasiliensis (rubber tree). The record is from RNAcentral. Lineage: Eukaryota; Viridiplantae; Streptophyta; Magnoliopsida; Malpighiales; Euphorbiaceae.
UUCAUUGCUACGGACAAAUUCCAUUAUUAUAUUGCUUGUUGGUCAUUGCUAAUCAAAAUAGCAAUAGAUUAGGAACCAAAAUUCCAUUGCUAAUUAGCAACAGAUUCUUUCCUUCGCUAAUUUAGCAACAGAGGAUAGUCAGUGAGAACGUGGAGAUUGAGAAACCCAAACCACUCAUUCUGAAUAGUUAAAGAAGUUAAUAGACCAAGAGAGCCAGGAACCAUGCACAACUGUUUAACCUGCUAAGCAAAUCAAUUAAUAUGUGAUGGCAACAAAGUUUAUUCUUGCAAGGCCAAGUCAUUUUUCAAUAUGCUAGUUUGAUUUAGAUAACCAAAAUUUAGUGGGUAAAAUUGUGUUUGGUACCGCUCUAUGAACUGCAAUUUUGUUUACACACAAUGUAGACAGACAUAUUGGCAGAAUUAUGACUCCUUUGCAGUUAAAAACCACUCUUCCAAAGAUUUCAUAGCCACUUCAGAUGAUUAUCCUGUCAAGGCCUUUCAAAAAGUUAUAAAUCCAACUUUUAAUUCUGUUCCAAACCAGAACAUUAUUCAAGUAUUUAAUUCUUGAUACAGUUUCAAAUAGGAAUUUAAUGUCUUCAUCACUACAUGAAAUGAAUAACAGAACAAAGAUGCAAUUAAGAACAAGGAAGAAACCAACCACCAAAUUAAGUUGCUACAAAUUCUCACUCGGACUCCUCCACAAAUGUUUCGACUCGAAGAAGAACAAAUCCCACUGCAACUCCAACAAGAACUAGGCCAUUCAUGAUUGCUGCAAUCCUGAAUAUCUCAGCAACAGCACUGCAAGUAGAAGAGACUGCACCCCCACCUCUGCCUUUCGCUUUUGAUGGGGUUCUCAGAGAGCUCACCACCUUUGCAAAGGACUGGUCAGGACAUACAGGCAGUCCUAAUGAGGUUACACUGUUGUGAGCUUUUAACCCACCGAAGGAAUUCAGUCCUGUUAUGUAAUGCACAUUUAUGCUCUUCCUCCUAGGGCUGGAAAUGGUCGCUGCAGCAAAUGUUGCAGGAGAGAGUGUUGCUGAAGUUGUUGCCAUUGUUCUGUUACCAAAAACAAGCUGUUUCUUAUGGUGUUUGUGAAGUUAGCAGUAAUUGAAGAUGAUAAGAGGGAAAGAAAUUGAGAUUUUGUAUGGGAAGGGAUGGAUAAAGUCCAUAUGAGAUGGAUGGUUGACAAGCAGAUUAGAUAAGCUUACUUUCUAGGUAAAGAAUUAAAGAUAGUUCACCCUUAAAUGCUAGCCAAGGGAAAAAAUUGCGAGCCCCAAGGAUAGGCAGUGAAGAUUGACCACAAAUUUAAAUCAACUGGUGCAUUAUUUGGACCUAAGUGUGAUGAAA